Molecule: ribosomal RNA, 565 nt
Filed under: uncultured Gammaproteobacteria bacterium
Lineage: Bacteria; Pseudomonadati; Pseudomonadota; Gammaproteobacteria
Description: bacterial SSU rRNA
Rfam family: Bacterial small subunit ribosomal RNA
Source: RNAcentral
GGAAUAUUGGACAAUGGGGGCAACCCUGAUCCAGCGACGCCGCGUGGGUGAAGAAGGCCUGCGGGUUGUAAAGCCCUUUCGGUUGGGAAGAAAAGCUGCGACCUAACACGUCGCGGCCUUGACGUAACCAACUAAAGAAGCACCGGCUAACUCUGUGCCAGCAGCCGCGGUAAUACAGAGGGUGCGAGCGUUAAUCGGAAUUACUGGGCGUAAAGCGCGCGUAGGCGGCUUUGCAAGCCGGAUGUGAAAUCCCCGGGCUUAACCUGGGAACUGCAUUCGGGACUGCAUUGCUAGAGUAUGGGAGAGGGAAGUGGAAUUUCAGGUGUAGCGGUGAAAUGCGUAGAUAUCUGAAGGAACAUCAGUGGCGAAAGCGACUUCCUGGACCAAUACUGACGCUCAUGUGCGAAAGCGUGGGGAGCACCCACAGGAUUAGAUACCCUGGUAGUCCACGCCAUAAACGAUGAGAACUGGAUGUCGGAGGGGUCUGCCCUUUGGUGUCGUAGCUAACGCGUUAAGUUCUCCGCCUGGGGAGUACGGCCGCCAAGGUUGAAACUCAAAGGAAUUG